RNAcentral lists this ribosomal RNA (968 nucleotides) under Limosilactobacillus reuteri. Its description in RNAcentral is "bacterial SSU rRNA". It matches the Rfam family "Bacterial small subunit ribosomal RNA", at positions 8 to 929 of the family's 1533-position model. Lineage: Bacteria; Bacillati; Bacillota; Bacilli; Lactobacillales; Lactobacillaceae. The record is from RNAcentral.
AGAGUUUGAUCAUGGCUCAGGAUGAACGCCGGCGGUGUGCCUAAUACAUGCAAGUCGUACGCACUGGCCCAACUGAUUGAUGGUGCUUGCACCUGAUUGACGAUGGAUCACCAGUGAGUGGCGGACGGGUGAGUAACACGUAGGUAACCUGCCCCGGAGCGGGGGAUAACAUUUGGAAACAGAUGCUAAUACCGCAUAACAACAAAAGCCGCAUGGUUUUUGUUUGAAAGAUGGCUUUGGCUAUCACUCUGGGAUGGACCUGCGGUGCAUUAGCUAGUUGGUAAGGUAACGGCUUACCAAGGCGAUGAUGCAUAGCCGAGUUGAGAGACUGAUCGGCCACAAUGGAACUGAGACACGGUCCAUACUCCUGCGGGAGGCAGCAGUAGGGAAUCUUCCACAAUGGGCGCAAGCCUGAUGGAGCAACACCGCGUGAGUGAAGAAAGGGUUUUCGGCUCGUAAAGCUCUGUUGUUGGAGAAGAACGUGCGUGAGAGUAACUGUUCACGCAGUGACGGUAUCCAACCAGAAAGUCACGGCUAACUACGUGCCAGCAGCCGCGGUAAUACGUAGGUGGCAAGCGUUAUCCGGAUUUAUUGGGCGUAAAGCGAGCGCAGGCGGUUGCUUAGGUCUGAUGUGAAAGCCUUCGGCUUAACCGAAGAAGUGCAUCGGAAACCGGGCGACUUGAGUGCAGAAGAGGACAGUGGAACUCCAUGUGUAGCGGUGGAAUGCGUAGAUAUAUGGAAGAACACCAGUGGCGAAGGCGGCUGUCUGGUCUGCAACUGACGCUGAGGCUCGAAAGCAUGGGUAGCGAACAGGAUUAGAUACCCUGGUAGUCCAUGCCGUAAACGAUGAGUGCUAGGUGUUGGAGGGUUUCCGCCCUUCAGUGCCGGAGCUAACGCAUUAAGCACUCCGCCUGGGGAGUACGACCGCAAGGUUGAAACUCAAAGGAAUUGACGGGGGCCCGCACAAG